RNAcentral lists this transfer RNA (74 nucleotides) under Clostridiales bacterium. RNAcentral's name for it is "tRNA-Asp". It matches the Rfam family "tRNA". Rfam says of the family: Transfer RNA (tRNA) molecules are approximately 80 nucleotides in length. Their secondary structure includes four short double-helical elements and three loops (D, anti-codon, and T loops). The record is from RNAcentral. Lineage: Bacteria; Bacillati; Bacillota; Clostridia; Eubacteriales.
GGCCAUAUGGUAUAGCGGUAUUAUGUCGGCUUGUCGCGCCGAAGAUCGGGGUUCGACUCCCCGUAUGGUCGCCA